Molecule: small RNA, 1304 nt
Filed under: Vigna angularis var. angularis
Lineage: Eukaryota; Viridiplantae; Streptophyta; Magnoliopsida; Fabales; Fabaceae
Description: Non-protein coding transcript
Source: RNAcentral
CAAGCAUCACAUGAUUUGGGAUGCAAGGGUCCACGGACAACUCAAACACCACCAUGGCUGGAAGAAAGGACACUCCACAGCCUAGUUCAACAAGGAGGUGGCACCCCUUUGCUGCAUUCAGCAAGCUUGAAAGCAGCGUCCAUCACGGUCACAAGAGAAGGAGCUUUCCAGUGGUAACAACACAUCACGCAAUCCAGCAGCACAACUCCUUCCAGCAAACUUGAAUCAGUUCAGCUGCUGGUCCAGCAGAAUAGAUGCUUCACGGUCCAUGCAAAGAGAAGCAGUAGCACACGGUGGCUGCAGCAAAAGAAGAUGGAAGAUCACGCUCCAACAAGCACAUCCAACAAGGAGAAGCAGCAGCUUACGGUUUCUUUUGGUUGGCUUGGAGGGGCAGCAGCUGGUCCAGUGGAGAAGACCUUCACAGUCCAGUAAAGAGUAGCCACCACCGAGAAGGGAGGAGCUGUACAAGCAGAAGAGAAGCUCACGGCCUGCACCAGCGGUCCAACAACACUCACGGGCUCUUCUUUCCCUUUGGAGGUGGGAGACCACACACAAUGGGAAGGGAUUCACGUUCAGUUUAGGUGCUGUCACAGCAGCAGACUUCCUCCUCCAUGGUAUCUUCAUGCGUCCAGAACAGCAGCCACCAACGUUGGUUCCUAUCUCAGAUUUUCCAGUCCACCAAAGGUGGUAUUUCCAGCAACGUCCUCCCAUCCAGAAGCAGCUCACACUCCAGCAGCUUGGUAGCAGCGAGAAACCAGCAGCCACCUUGGAGAGGAGAUGAAGAUCACGGCCUGGUCUAGCAACACAGCAGCAGCAACAUUUGCAUCCAACAACACCAACACUUCACCGAGAGCAAGCAGAAGCAUCUUGAUCCAGCCACUUCCAUGAGCAACAUCCAUACUUCACGGUCAGCACAUCCAGCAUGGAAUGUGGGCACCACAUUUCAAAAGAAUUUGGCAGCCAACAGAAAAGAAGAUGGCACAAACAAAUGAAGGAGAAGUCACGGGAGGAGACUAUGCGGGAGUUGGUGAGAGAAUUCCUUAUAAAAAGAAGGCAGCACCAGAGAAGAUGGGAGCAUCAGUGUUAGGAGUAGGAAUUUAGAAGAGUUUUACGUUGGCUUUUAUUUUUCCUCCUCCCCUUUGGGGAGGUUUUGGAUUUGUUCUUGUUUUCCAAUUUGUUUUCCAGUUUCAAUCUGCACGUUUAAUUUCCAUGUUGUUUUCCAGUUUGUUUUUCAAUCGAAAUUAAAUUUACAGUUUGCAUUUACAAUUUCAUCUGCACGUUUAACGCUGCAAGUUUCUGGUUAC